UACGUAGGUGGCAAGCGUUGUCCGGAUUUACUGGGUGUAAAGGGCGUGCAGCCGGGCUGACAAGUCAGAUGUGAAAUCCCGCGGCUCAACCGCGGAACUGCAUUGGGAACUACCGGGCUGGAGUGCCGGAGAGGUAGGCGGAAUUCCUAGUGUAGCGGUGAAAUGCGUAGAUAUUAGGAGGAACACCAGUGGCGAAGGCGGCCUACUGGACGGUGACUGACGCUGAGGCUCGAAAGCGUGGGGAGCAAACAGG
RNAcentral lists this ribosomal RNA (253 nucleotides) under uncultured Oscillospiraceae bacterium. Its description in RNAcentral is "partial 16S ribosomal RNA". It matches the Rfam family "Bacterial small subunit ribosomal RNA", at positions 524 to 776 of the family's 1533-position model. Lineage: Bacteria; Bacillati; Bacillota; Clostridia; Eubacteriales; Oscillospiraceae. The record is from RNAcentral.